AUUGAACGCUGGCGGCAUGCUUUACACAUGCAAGUCGAACGGCAGCGCGGGCUUCGGCCUGGCGGCGAGUGGCGAACGGGUGAGUAAUACAUCGGAACGUGCCCAGUAGUGGGGGAUAGCUCGGCGAAAGCCGGAUUAAUACCGCAUACGACCUGAGGGUGAAAGCGGGGGAUCUUCGGACCUCGCGCUAUUGGAGCGCCGAUGGCAGAUUAGCUAGUUGGUGGGGUAAAGGCCUACCAAGGCGACGAUCUGUAGCUGGUCUGAGAGGACGACCAGCCACACUGGGACUGAGACACGGCCCAGACUCCUACGGGAGGCAGCAGUGGGGAAUUUUGGACAAUGGGCGAAAGCCUGAUCCAGCAAUGCCGCGUGUGUGAUGAAGGCCUUCGGGUUGUAAAGCACUUUUGGCGGGAACGAAAAGGACUGUGCCAAUACCACGGUUCGAUGACGGUACCCGCAGAAUAAGCACCGGCUAACUACGUG
Molecule: ribosomal RNA, 483 nt
Filed under: uncultured bacterium
Lineage: Bacteria
Description: partial 16S ribosomal RNA
Rfam family: Bacterial small subunit ribosomal RNA
Source: RNAcentral